RNAcentral lists this ribosomal RNA (301 nucleotides) under uncultured bacterium. RNAcentral's name for it is "partial 16S ribosomal RNA". It matches the Rfam family "Bacterial small subunit ribosomal RNA", at positions 509 to 808 of the family's 1533-position model. The record is from RNAcentral.
CAGUCGCCGCGGGAACACGAAGGGUGCAAGCGUUACUCGGAAUUACUGGGCGUAAAGCGUGCGUAGGUGGUCGUUUAAGUCUGUUGUGAAAGCCCUGGGCUCAACCUGGGAACUGCAGUGGAAACUGGACGACUAGAGUGUGGUAGAGGGUAGCGGAAUUCCUGGUGUAGCAGUGAAAUGCGUAGAGAUCAGGAGGAACAUCCAUGGCGAAGGCAGCUACCUGACCAACACUGACACUGAGGCACGAAAGCGUGGGGAGCAAACAGGAUUAGAUACCCGCGUAGUCCCUGUCUCUUAUACA